RNAcentral lists this ribosomal RNA (474 nucleotides) under uncultured bacterium. RNAcentral's name for it is "bacterial SSU rRNA". It matches the Rfam family "Bacterial small subunit ribosomal RNA", at positions 47 to 507 of the family's 1533-position model. The record is from RNAcentral.
CUUAACACAUGCAAGUCGAGGGGAAACCGAUAGAGAAAGCUUGCUUUUUCUAGGCGUCGACCGGCGCAACGGGUGAGUAACGCGUAUCCAACCUGCCCAUCACUUGGGGAUAACCUUGCGAAAGUAAGACUAAUACCCAAUGACGUCUCUAGAAGACAUCUGAAGGAGAUUAAAGAUUUAUCGGUGAUGGAUGGGGAUGCGUCUGAUUAGCUUGUUGCGGGGUAACGGCCCACCAAGGCGACGAUCAGUAGGGGUUCUGAGAGGAAGGCCCCCCACAUUGGAACUGAGACACGGUCCAAACUCCUACGGGAGGCAGCAGUGAGGAAUAUUGGUCAAUGGACGAGAGUCUGAACCAGCCAAGUAGCGUGCAGGAUGACGGCCCUAUGGGUUGUAAACUGCUUUUAUAAGGGAAUAAAGUGAGUCUCGUGAGACUUUUUGCAUGUACCUUAUGAAUAAGGACCGGCUAAUUCCGUG